UGGGGAAUAUUGCACAAUGGGCGCAAGCCUGAUGCAGCCAUGCCGCGUGUGUGAAGAAGGCCUUCGGGUUGUAAAGCACUUUCAGCGGGGAGGAAGGCGUUAAGGUUAAUAACCUUGGCGAUUGACGUUACCCGCAGAAGAAGCACCGGCUAACUCCGUGCCAGCAGCCGCGGUAAUACGGAGGGUGCAAGCGUUAAUCGGAAUUACUGGGCGUAAAGCGCACGCAGGCGGUCUGUCAAGUGGGAUGUGAAAUCCCCGGGCUCAACCUGGGAACUGCAUUCGAACCUGGCAGGCUAGAGUCUUGUAGAGGGGGGUAGAAUUCCAGGUGUAGCGGUGAAAUGCGUAGAGAUAUGGAGAAAUACCGGUGGCGAAGGCGUCCCCCUGGACAAAGACUGACGCUCAGGUGCGAAAGCGUGGGGAGCAAACAGG
RNAcentral lists this ribosomal RNA (429 nucleotides) under Chloroflexota bacterium. RNAcentral's name for it is "Chloroflexi bacterium partial 16S ribosomal RNA". It matches the Rfam family "Bacterial small subunit ribosomal RNA", at positions 355 to 776 of the family's 1533-position model. Lineage: Bacteria; Bacillati; Chloroflexota. The record is from RNAcentral.